This 328-nucleotide long non-coding RNA is filed under the name Bos taurus (domestic cattle). Its description in RNAcentral is "long non-coding RNA NONBTAT011462". The record is from RNAcentral. Lineage: Eukaryota; Metazoa; Chordata; Mammalia; Artiodactyla; Bovidae.
GCAUUAGAGAUAGGUUUUAUUUGCUCUUCUCAAGUAGCUAGAUGACAUUCUACUUGGAAUAAUACAAAAUUGGAUUACAUAUGUGCAUAUAUAUUCUGAAUUCUGUGAUUCAUUAAGGAGUUAAAAGAAAAAGUUAAGCCCUCUAAUUGAGGAACUAAUUUAGUAUUUUAAUUUUACAGUUGAAAAGAUGAUAUAAAGAAAUAAAAUAUAAACAACCUUAACUACAGAGAACAUUUUGAAAAUUGUUAAGGGAAAAACUGAAAUUAUCAAUAUCAAUUAAGAAUUUCUGGCAUGCCCAUUUAUUCAACAUAUUGGGUAACUGUAUCAU